AGAAGUGAGCUAUAAAAGCUGCACAUUUCCCAGAAAGGGCAUCUUCAAUAAUAUCCAUCUCAGAUGUGGCCAUGGAAGAUAAUGGACAAGUAAAAACUCCCAUCUUUUCAAAACAGUGAUCUCUGCUCCAUUUAGGAGAAAAAUGGACAGCAUCAAACUAAUCUCCACUAAGGAAUUCAGAAUUAGGACUGAAGUGGUCUGGGCUGGUAUCUUGAAUGAAGAAGCUAUGAACUUGAGAGGUAUGGGAUGACCAUGUGCCCGAAAGACAAAGAAAGCUUAUUUGCAUAAAUGAAGAAAUAAAUUACAGAGAAAAGCAACAGAGAAGAGAGUAUACUGCCUAGUUUCCUAAGAACCUAAGUUCUAUUUCCUCAAGAGAUCCAGCUAUCCCUGGGUUCUGUGAAACACCCCUGUAUUCUCCAUAAAUAAAUUCCUUUUCUUUUUUGAUGUAUCCAGUGCUGGUUUCUUUUACUUGCAGCCAAGCAAAACUUGACUAAAAUAAGCUUACUAAAUCAUAAAUCAAAUCAUAUUUCUUUUUUAUUUUUCAGUAUUUUUUUAUACCAUAUACACUGUUGACAGGCACAGAUUUUACAUUUAACUCUUUUACUUUGCCAGUAUACCCACUGAUACUUUUUAUUCCCUAUUAUCUCUUAUAUUAUUUCCCCCAUAUGUAUAUGAAUUCAUGACAACUCAAAUUCCUCUACCAUCUCCCCAUAAAAAAAGCUGAUGCUUUUCAUAAAAACAUUUUUUCAAUUUUAGACAAUGGAUUUCAAAAUUAAAUCACCAGUUUUCUGUCACUUUUUUCCAGUUUCCUGCAUUCAUAUUUCCCUUUUACAACUAUUUUUUAUAAUAUCCUCAAUUAAGUGGAUUUUUUUUUACAGCCUUCAUUUUAAGAAAAAGCCUCAAAUGAUGAUAAAUAA
Panthera uncia (snow leopard) is the source of this 917-nucleotide long non-coding RNA. RefSeq lists it as uncharacterized. NCBI's taxonomy places the organism in Eukaryota, Metazoa, Chordata, Mammalia, Carnivora, Felidae. The transcript is spliced from 3 exons. The record is from RefSeq and is a predicted model, not a curated record.